Molecule: transfer RNA, 91 nt
Filed under: Candidatus Bathyarchaeota archaeon
Lineage: Archaea; Thermoproteati; Candidatus Bathyarchaeota
Description: tRNA-Arg
Rfam family: tRNA (bases 23-88)
About the family: Transfer RNA (tRNA) molecules are approximately 80 nucleotides in length. Their secondary structure includes four short double-helical elements and three loops (D, anti-codon, and T loops). Further hydrogen bonds mediate the characteristic L-shaped molecular structure. tRNAs have two regions of fundamental functional importance: the anti-codon, which is responsible for specific mRNA codon recognition, and the 3' end, to which the tRNAs corresponding amino acid is attached (by aminoacyl-tRNA synthetases). tRNAs cope with the degeneracy of the genetic code in two manners: having more than one tRNA (with a specific anti-codon) for a particular amino acid; and 'wobble' base-pairing, i.e. permitting non-standard base-pairing at the 3rd anti-codon position.
Source: RNAcentral
GGGCCCGUGAGGUAGCUAGGACUAGACCGUGAGUCAACCUGGGGGCUUUCGGAGCCCCAUGUCGCGGGUUCAAAUCCCGCCGGGCUCACCA